CCAGUGCCUGACUCAGUGCCUGAGUAAAUGUGCGUUGGAGGAAUGAACAGCCAGCAAAAGAGAGAGGACACUGGGCCUGGCAGCCAGAGCAGCUGGAAGAGAGGCCCCAAAACAAACAGAACCUCCGCCAGGAAAUCUAACAACACAAGGCCCCAUGGACGAUUUGCUUCCCAUGGACCAGACACAACUGGAGGCUAAAGGAUAAGGAUACUCACUGAGGAAGUCCAGGAAGAUCCUUCUGGAAGCAGUUGGAAGAUAAAUCGGGUAGGAUGUGGGGGGAUGCAGAAAAGAGAAUAGAAUUGGAGGCUAUUACUUAAAUUCAGGAGACAGAGUCUUGCUAUGUUUCCCAGGCUGGAGUGCAAUGGCCAUGAUCCCAUUACUAAUCAGCACAGGAGUUUUGACCUACUCUGUUUUGGACUUGGGCAGAGUCCUCUUUCUUAGGCAACUUGACGGUCCCCCCCAUCCUUGUGGACACCCGUGGGUACAGUGCAUUACUGCCCAGAAUUCCUGGACUUGAUCAAUUCCCCCACCUAACCCUCCUGAGUAGCUGGGACCACUGGCAUGUGUCACUGUGCCCAGCAAAUUGUAUUCUUUAAAAAUGGGUGAGUUGUAAUGAUAUG
This is a long non-coding RNA of Rhinopithecus roxellana (golden snub-nosed monkey), 620 nucleotides long. RefSeq lists it as uncharacterized. The record is from RefSeq and is a predicted model, not a curated record. Lineage: Eukaryota; Metazoa; Chordata; Mammalia; Primates; Cercopithecidae. The transcript has 4 exons.